UGCUGUUCUCAUGCACGAGAGUGACCAGGUG
RNAcentral lists this non-coding RNA (31 nucleotides) under Homo sapiens (human). The record is from RNAcentral. Lineage: Eukaryota; Metazoa; Chordata; Mammalia; Primates; Hominidae.